GUGCCGGACCAUGUACAAGUCUCUUGGAACAGAGCGUCAUAGAGGGUGAGAAUCCCGUCCUUGACAUGGACUCCCGGUGCUUUGUGUUGAGCUCUCAGCGAGUCGAGUUGUUUGGGAAUGCAGCUCAAAAUGGGUGGUAAAUUCCAUCUAAAGCUAAAUAUUGGCGAGAGACCGAUAGCGAACAAGUACCGUGAGGGAAAGAUGAAAAGCACUUUGGAGAGAGAGUUAAACAGUACGUGAAAUUGUUGAAAUGGAAACGAUUGAAGUCAGUCGCGUUCUCUGGGAUUCAGCCUUGCUUCUGCUUGGUGCAUUUCCUAGUCUACGGGCCAGCAUGGAUUUCGACCGUCGGAAAAGGGCUGGGGGAAUGUGGCACCUUCGGGUGUGUUAUAGCCCCUUGUCGCAUGCAUCGGUUGGGAUCGAGGACCUCAGUGCACGCUUCGGUUGUGCUUUGAUGCUGAGGCAAUGGCUUUGCCCGACGAGUCACUAGGUAACCCCCGGCCGCCUNCCGGUCGACCAAAG
Molecule: ribosomal RNA, 519 nt
Filed under: uncultured Basidiomycota
Lineage: Eukaryota; Fungi; Basidiomycota
Description: LSU rRNA
Rfam family: Eukaryotic large subunit ribosomal RNA
Source: RNAcentral